UACGUAGGUGGCAAGCGUUGUCCGGAUUUAUUGGGUUUAAAGGGUGCGUAGGCGGUCCUAUAAGUCAGUGCUGAAAUAUCCCGGCUUAACCGGGAGGGUGGCAUUGAUACUGCAGGACUUGAGUAAAGUUGAGGUAGGCGGAAUUGACGGUGUAGCGGUGAAAUGCUUAGAUAUCGUCAAGAACACCGAUAGUGAAGACAGCUUACUAGACUUUAACUGACGCUGAGGCGCGAAAGUGUGGGGAGCAAACAGG
RNAcentral lists this ribosomal RNA (253 nucleotides) under uncultured bacterium. RNAcentral's name for it is "partial 16S ribosomal RNA". It matches the Rfam family "Bacterial small subunit ribosomal RNA", at positions 524 to 776 of the family's 1533-position model. The record is from RNAcentral.